RNAcentral lists this ribosomal RNA (497 nucleotides) under uncultured bacterium. Its description in RNAcentral is "partial 16S ribosomal RNA". It matches the Rfam family "Bacterial small subunit ribosomal RNA", at positions 28 to 507 of the family's 1533-position model. The record is from RNAcentral.
GAUGAACGCUGGCGGCGUGCCUAAUACAUGCAAGUCGAGCGAACAGACUAGGAUCUUGCUCCUUUGACGUUAGCGGCUGACGGGUGAGUAACACGUGGAUUACCUACCUUUAAGACUUGGUUAACUUCGGGAAACCGGUGCUAAUACCGGCUACCAUCUUCAACCGCAUGGUUCAACAGUGAAAGACGGUCUUGCUGUCACUUAUAGAUGGAUCCGAGCCGCUUUAGUUAGUUGGUAAGGUAACGCCAUACCACGGCAACGAUGCGUAGCCGACCUGAGAGGGUGAUCAGCCACACAGGAACUGAGACACGGUCCAGACGCCAACGGAAGGCAGCAGUAGGGAAUCUUCCGCGAUGAGAGAAAGGCGGACGGGGGAACGCCGCGGAAGUGAAGAAGGUGUUCGGAUCGUAAAACUCGGUUAUUAGGGAAGAACAAAUGUGGAAGUAACUAUGCACGUCUUGACGGUACCUUAUCAGAAAGCCACAGCUAAAUACGUG